AUUUAAAAAUUUAUUAAUUUUAAUAAUUUAUUUGUUUGUUAACUAAAGAAAUAUUUAAUUUAUUAAAUUUUUGAAAAAUUAAUUUUUAUUAUAGUGAAUUAGUAUUGAAAAAUAAUAUUUUAAAAUAAUUAAAAGAAAAAUUAUUUUGUACCUUGUGUAUCAGGGUUUAUUAAAAAUAAAUUAAAAAUUUAAUUAUCUCGAAUUUAAAAGAUUUAAUUAUUUAUAAAUUUUAUUGUAAAAUAAAUAUUUAAAAUAAAUAAUUGGUAAUGAAACGUUAAUCGUUUUUAAAUAUAUCUAGUUUUUUAAGAAAAAAGUUUAAUUUUUUUAAUAAUUUUAAAAUUUAUUAUUUUUUAUAAAUUUUAAAUUAUUAAUUUAUAUAUUAAGGGAUAAGCUUUAAUAUAAAUUUUUAUAAUUAUUUAUAUAUUUUAAAUUUUAUAGGAUUAAAAAUUUCUUUUUUAAGUUUUUAAUAAUUUAAUUUAUUUUAAUUAAGAUUUUUAUUAAAUUUAAUUUUUUUAUUAAAAUAUAUUAUUUAAUUUUUUAAUAAUAGAAAUAAUGAUAAAAUUAGUAUAAUUUUUUGUAAAAGUUAUUUAAGUUGUAAUAUAAAUUAUAAGAAUUCGGCAAAAUUAUUUUUCAAAUGUUUAGUAAAAACAUUUCCUUUUGAAUAUAAUUUAAGGUAGGACCUGCCCACUGAAAAUUUUGAAGGGCCGCAGUAUUUUGACUGUGCAAAGGUAGCAUAAUCAUUAGUUUUUUAAUUGAAAGCUGGAAUGAAUGGUUUAAUGAGAAAAUAACUUUUUUUAAUUUAAUAAUUUAAAAUUUUAUUUUUAAGUUAAAAAGCUUAAAUAUAUUUAUAAGACGAGAAGACCCUAUAGAGUUUUAUUUUUAUUUUAUUAAAAAUUUUUAGUAUUUAAUAAUUUUAUUAAAAUAAAAAUUUGAUUGGGGUGAUUAAAAAAUUAAAUUAACUUUUUUUUUAUAUAUACAUUGAUUUAUGAAUUUUUGAUCCAAUUAUUUUGAUUAUAAGAUUAAAUUACCUUAGGGAUAACAGCGUAAUUUUUUUUUAAAGUUCAAAUUAAAAAAAAAGUUUGCGACCUCGAUGUUGGAUUAAAAUUUAUUAUUGGUGUAGAAGCUAAUAUAUUAGAUCUGUUCGAUCUUUAAAAUUUUACAUGAUCUGAGUUUAGACCGGUGUGAGCCAGGUCGGUUUCUAUCUUUAAAUAAUUAUUAUAUUUUAGUACGAAAGGACCAAAUAUAAAUUUUAUAAAUUUAAUUUUGAAUAUAAUU
Molecule: ribosomal RNA, 1275 nt
Filed under: Nephus includens
Lineage: Eukaryota; Metazoa; Arthropoda; Insecta; Coleoptera; Coccinellidae
Description: 16S ribosomal RNA
Rfam family: Archaeal large subunit ribosomal RNA (bases 1035-1193)
Source: RNAcentral